RNAcentral lists this ribosomal RNA (484 nucleotides) under uncultured bacterium. RNAcentral describes it as "partial 16S ribosomal RNA". It matches the Rfam family "Bacterial small subunit ribosomal RNA", at positions 30 to 507 of the family's 1533-position model. The record is from RNAcentral.
AUUGAACGCUGGCGGCAGGCCUAACACAUGCAAGUCGAGCGGAUGAAGGGAGCUUGCUCCUGGAUUCAGCGUCGGACGGGUGAGUAAUGCCUAGGAAUCUGCCUGGUAGUGGGGUAUAACGUCCGGAAACGGGCGCUAAUACCGCAUACGUCCUGAGGGAGAUAGUUGGGGAUCUUCGGACCUCACGCUAUCAGAUGAGCCUAGGUCGGAUUAGCUAGUUGGUGGGGUAAAGGCCUACCAAGGCGACGAUCCGUAACUGGUCUGAGAGGAUGAUCAGUCACACUGGAACUGAGACACGGUCCAGACUCCUACGGGAGGCAGCAGUGGGGAAUAGUGGACAAUGGGCGAAAGCCUGAUCCAGUCAUGCCGAGUGUGUGAAGAAGGUCUUCGGAUUGUAAAGCACUUUAAGUUGGGAGGAAGGGCAGUAAGUUAAUACCUUGCUGUUUUGACGUUACCAACAGAAUAAGCACCGGCUAACUUCGUG